Molecule: ribosomal RNA, 496 nt
Filed under: uncultured bacterium
Lineage: Bacteria
Description: partial 16S ribosomal RNA
Rfam family: Bacterial small subunit ribosomal RNA
Source: RNAcentral
AGUGAACGCUGGCGGUAGGCUUAACACAUGCAAGUCGAACGGCAGCCCAGUAAGUUCCUGCUCUUACGGGUGGGGAGUGGGGGACGGGAGAGGAUUGAAACCGUACCUAUAUUUUCGGGGGGGAUAAGGUAAGGAGACUUACGCUCCUACAGCAAUCUUUACCCGGGUGAGAGAAUGGGAAAUUCGGGCCUUGCGGGAAUGAAUGGGCGGAUGUCCGCCGGAUUAGCUGGUUGGUAGGGUAACGGCCAACCAAGGCAACGAUGCGUAGCCGGACUGAGAGGGUGAUCGGCCACACUGGAACGGAGACACGGUCCAGACUCCUACGGGAGGCAGCAGUGGGGAAUGUUGGGCAAUGGGCGCAAGCCUGACCCAGCCAUGCUGCGUGAGUGAAGAAGGCCUUCGGGUCGUAAAGCCCUUUUAUUGGGAAAGAACAGCUGUGGAUGAAAACACCGCGGUUCUGACGGUACCCAGUCAAAAAGCACCGGCUAACUACGUG